GUAGUCAUAUGCUUGUCUCAAAGAUUAAGCCAUGCAUGUCUAAGUAUAAGCAAUCUAUACCGUGAAACUGCGAAUGGCUCAUUAAAUCAGUUAUCGUUUAUUUGAUAGUACCUUACUACUUGGAUAACCGUGGUAAUUCUAGAGCUAAUACAUGCUAAAAACCUCGACUUCGGAAGGGGUGUAUUUAUUAGAUAAAAAACCAAUGCCCUUCGGGGCUCCUUGGUGAUUCAUAAUAACUUAACGAAUCGCAUGGCCUUGUGCCGGCGAUGGUUCAUUCAAAUUUCUGCCCUAUCAACUUUCGAUGGUAUGGUCUUGGCUUACCAUGGUUUCAACGGGUAACGGGGAAUUAGGGUUCUAUUCCGGAGAGGGAGCCUGAGAAACGGCUACCACAUCCAAGGAAGGCAGCAGGCGCGCAAAUUACCCAAUCCCGACACGGGGAGGUAGUGACAAUAAAUACUGAUACAGGGCUCUUUUGGGUCUUGUAAUUGGAAUGAGUACAAUUUAAAUCCCUUAACGAGGAACAAUUGGAGGGCAAGUCUGGUUCCAGCAGCCGCGGUAAUUCCAGCUCCAAUAGCGUAUAUUAAAGUUGUUGCAGUUAAAAAGCUCGUAGUUGAACCUUGGGCCUGGUUGGCCGGUCCGCCUCACCGCGUGCACUGGUCCGACCGGGUCUUUCCUUCUGAGGAGCCGCAUGCCCUUCACUGGGUGUGUCGGGGAAUCAGGACUUUUACUUUGAAAAAAUUAGAGUGUUCAAAGCAGGCCUAUGCUCGAAUACAUUAGCAUGGAAUAAUAGAAUAGGACGUGUGGUUCUAUUUUGUUGGUUUCUAGGACCGCCGUAAUGAUUAAUAGGGAUAGUCGGGGGCAUCAGUAUUAAAUUGUCAGAGGUGAAAUUCUUGGAUUUAUUUAAGACUAACUACUGCGAAAGCAUUUGCCAAGGAUGUUUUCAUUAAUCAGUGAACGAAAGUUAGGGGAUCGAAGACGAUCAGAUACCGUCGUAGUCUUAACCAUAAACUAUGCCGACUAGGGAUCGGGCGAUGUUAUCUUUUUGACUCGCUCGGCACCUUACGAGAAAUCAAAGU
RNAcentral lists this ribosomal RNA (1076 nucleotides) under Cystodendron sp. CRG-2008. RNAcentral's name for it is "SSU rRNA". It matches the Rfam family "Eukaryotic small subunit ribosomal RNA", at positions 20 to 1104 of the family's 1831-position model. Lineage: Eukaryota; Fungi; Ascomycota; Leotiomycetes; Helotiales; Mollisiaceae. The record is from RNAcentral.